Molecule: non-coding RNA, 27 nt
Filed under: Mus musculus (house mouse)
Lineage: Eukaryota; Metazoa; Chordata; Mammalia; Rodentia; Muridae
Source: RNAcentral
UGCUUUGGAAUAUCCUUUUGAGCUUGC